Molecule: long non-coding RNA, 1081 nt
Organism: Rhipicephalus microplus (southern cattle tick)
Lineage: Eukaryota; Metazoa; Arthropoda; Arachnida; Ixodida; Ixodidae
Source: RefSeq, a predicted model, not a curated record
CGGUCUUACAUCAGAUCAUUGAAGCCUGUUUGUAAAAACUAGUGCAAUGCAAUUUCUAGCGCUGCUAGUAUACAGGCGAUUGGCGAAAGGUUUGCAAGUAUACAUGUGCUUGUCACACUUUGAAAAUUAAUUUCGCACUUUAUAGCUUCUACUGGGCCACAAGUCUUUAAAUCAGGGCAAGGUGAAACCAACUAAUGCUUCUUCGCACAGUUCUUCUGCAGCUGCAUGAUUAUUGCUGAAUAUCCUUGUUCCGUGCUUGUGUGCAGUUGCACCGGUUGAUUCCUCGAGUUGAAUAUUGUUGAUCUUGUGCGGAAUAGUCUUGCUUUUUCUGGUGUUAUGCAGGUGUUAUUUAAAACAUAUACAGUAACCUCACAAAAGUUUGUUGGAAAAAGAAAAUGUUUUCUAUUAGUGAAUUCUGGAUUCUCCUUUGGGAAUUUUGUUGGCUCUUGGCCUGGUAAGAGAACAUCUGUGGGUGGAAUAAGGCUUUGCAAGUUUUAUUCAAAAGGUCUCAGUGCAGUGUGUUAGAUAAGUAUGGUUGAUAAAGAAGGAUUCUCUUUCAAGGCUUACAUCUGCUGUCACUGAGAAGGCUUGCUCUUUUCAGGCCAUCCAAGCAUCAUCAUCCAUUGUGGGUGUCACAUUUGAUGGCAGCUCACUUGACAUGCAAGGCCUCGAAGCCUCUGUGACUGUCAGCUGGGCGGCGAAACAACUUCCUUGAUGGCCUCGCUCCUGCAGCAGCAGAGUCUCGGUUGCCAGGGGCCACUGCGCCGGAGCACACUGAGGCUAGACUUGCUGUGGGGCCUGCGACGAUGUAGCCUGUGUAAUAACCCGCUAGGUAACGAGGGGUCUGCACCUUGGCUGAAGCUCUUACGGACAACCUCUGCCUCAAGGCACUUGACCUUCAGAGCUGCAAUAUCGGCAAUGAUGGUGGCUGCAUUGGCUAACCUGCUGCGAAAAAAUGUUGUGCUGGAGGUGGUGGACAUAUGACAAAACCCAUCCACUGUACGAUGUCCUCCCUCUGGGCAAUAGCCAGCUGCUGCCACCUUGUGACCAAAGAAGCAGGUCAACUGGUAGACCACAAGAG